AUGCAAGUCGAACGGUAACAGGAAGAAGCUUGCUUCUUUGCUGACGAGUGGCGGACGGGUGAGUAAUGUCUGGGAAACUGCCUGAUGGAGGGGGAUAACUACUGGAAACGGUAGCUAAUACCGCAUAACGUCGCAAGACCAAAGAGGGGGACCUUCGGGCCUCUUGCCAUCGGAUGUGCCCAGAUGGGAUUAGCUAGUAGGUGGGGUAACGGCUCACCUAGGCGACGAUCCCUAGCUGGUCUGAGAGGAUGACCAGCCACACUGGAACUGAGACACGGUCCAGACUCCUACGGGAGGCAGCAGUGGGGAAUAUUGCACAAUGGGCGCAAGCCUGAUGCAGCCAUGCCGCGUGUAUGAAGAAGGCCUUCGGGUUGUAAAGUACUUUCAGCGGGGAGGAAGGGAGUAAAGUUAAUACCUUUGCUCAUUGACGUUACCCGCAGAAGAAGCACCGGCUAACUCCGUGCCAGCAGCCGCGGUAAUACGGAGGGUGCAAGCGUUAAUCGGAAUUACUGGGCGUAAAGCGCACGCAGGCGGUUUGUUAAGUCAGAUGUGAAAUCCCCGGGCUCAACCUGGGAACUGCAUCUGAUACUGGCAAGCUUGAGUCUCGUAGAGGGGGGUAGAAUUCCAGGUGUAGCGGUGAAAUGCGUAGAGAUCUGGAGGAAUACCGGUGGCGAAGGCGGCCCCCUGGACGAAGACUGACGCUCAGGUGCGAAAGCGUGGG
Molecule: ribosomal RNA, 721 nt
Filed under: uncultured Escherichia sp.
Lineage: Bacteria; Pseudomonadati; Pseudomonadota; Gammaproteobacteria; Enterobacterales; Enterobacteriaceae
Description: bacterial SSU rRNA
Rfam family: Bacterial small subunit ribosomal RNA
Source: RNAcentral